UCCUCGAUGGUCUAGUGGCUAUGAGUGAGUUUCACCAAAGCCGCGGGAGACCUGGGUUCGAUUCCCAGUCGGGGAG
This 76-nucleotide transfer RNA is filed under the name Hortaea werneckii EXF-2000. RNAcentral describes it as "tRNA-Gly (ACC) (tRNA-Gly-ACC-1-1, tRNA-Gly-ACC-1-2)". Lineage: Eukaryota; Fungi; Ascomycota; Dothideomycetes; Mycosphaerellales; Teratosphaeriaceae. The record is from RNAcentral.